RNAcentral lists this transfer RNA (99 nucleotides) under Adoxophyes honmai (smaller tea tortrix). RNAcentral's name for it is "tRNA-Gln". Lineage: Eukaryota; Metazoa; Arthropoda; Insecta; Lepidoptera; Tortricidae. The record is from RNAcentral.
UAUUUUAGUGUAUGAUGCACAAUAAUUUUUGAUAUUAUUAGAUAUAGCUUAGCACAAUAAUUUUUGAUAUUAUUAGAUAUAGUUUAAUUCUAUAAAAUA